Long non-coding RNA from Syngnathus typhle (broad-nosed pipefish), 794 nucleotides. RefSeq lists it as uncharacterized. NCBI's taxonomy places the organism in Eukaryota, Metazoa, Chordata, Actinopteri, Syngnathiformes, Syngnathidae. The transcript has 3 exons. The record is from RefSeq and is a predicted model, not a curated record.
GUGUAUUUGAACUUUCCAAAAUUGCAUAAGAGUUUACAAUACAUACAGAGCAUGCUAGACAGGUUCCAGAACUGGUGUUGGUGUCACUAAAAGGUCUCACCAGCUGUUGUUGUCUUCGACCAUUUUGCUCUCUGCCUGUCGCCUCUUAAAUCAAGUACUGUCUAGUUCCAGUCGUAGUAUCAUCUGGAUAUCAUCAAGAAUGAUCUCUAUCUCCAUCCACUCAGUGGGAGAUGGUAAUCUGAUUUUUGGUUACGGAUCGAGAUGUGGGCUGGCAAACCGCAGCGGGAAUUCCUUCCCUUGACAGGGUGCCAGCCUCGAAUCGUGUUGAGAAACACUCGGUGGCAGAGCUGUGGCCGUUGCAUGGUCACGCUCGAGUGGUAAACAAGCAACCCGGGGUUCUGCCCUCUGAUUGGCUGGCGUAAGGGAGGCGGUAGAAGGCACCGAAGUCAUUUUAUGAAGUGCCUCCCCCACAAUGCGGCAAGAGAAGGAGUACGGGCGCUUUACCGAUUGGCCUUUUUUUUAGCUAGCAGUUUCCAUGUUCCCGAGAAAACAAGCAGAGACAAGACGGAGCUGGGGCAGUCAAUCCUGACUGACUGCCGACUACUUCCUGGACGCGUUUCAGCACUUCCCUGGCAUCCUAUUAGGUUGUUACUGCAACAACACUCAGAAAGUCUUGGUUGCAUCAUUGAGAUGGCUCGCAAUCAAAUGGACUGGAGCUGAAUACUGGCAUAAUGGGAGUAGGUGGGUGUGGAGACCAGUUUCACAAGUCUAAAUGUGUACCAUGAGAGCAAGUA